CUGGCUUCUACUGUUGUU
This 18-nucleotide small nuclear RNA is filed under the name Arabidopsis thaliana (thale cress). RNAcentral's name for it is "snRNA_03340". The record is from RNAcentral. Lineage: Eukaryota; Viridiplantae; Streptophyta; Magnoliopsida; Brassicales; Brassicaceae.